UACGGAAGGCAGCAGUGGGGAAUAUUGCACAAUGGGCGCAAGCCUGAUGCAGCCAUGCCGCGUGUAUGAAGAAGGCCUUCGGGUUGUAAAGUACUUUCAGUCGUGAGGAAGGUGUUAAGGUUAAUAACCUUAGCAAUUGACGUUAGCGACAGAAGAAGCACCGGCUAACUCCGUGCCAGCAGCCGCGGUAAUACGGAGGGUGCGAGCGUUAAUCGGAAUUACUGGGCGUAAAGGGCACGCAGGCGGUUAAUUAAGUUGGAUGUGAAAUCUCCGGGCUUAACCUGGGAAUGGCAUUCAAGACUGGUUAGCUAGAGUCUUGUAGAGGGGGUUAGAAUUCCAUGUGUAGCGGUGAAAUGCGUAGAGAUGUGGAGGAAUACCGGGUGGCGAAGGCGGGCCCCUGGGACAAAGACUGACGCUCAUGUGCGAAAGCGUGGGGAGCAAACAGGGAUUAGAUACC
Molecule: ribosomal RNA, 457 nt
Filed under: uncultured bacterium
Lineage: Bacteria
Description: bacterial SSU rRNA
Rfam family: Bacterial small subunit ribosomal RNA
Source: RNAcentral